GGUUAAGCGACUAAGCGUACACGGUGGAUGCCCUGGCAGUCAGAGGCGAUGAAGGACGUGCUAAUCUGCGAUAAGCGUCGGUAAGGUGAUAUGAACCGUUAUAACCGGCGAUUUCCGAAUGGGGAAACCCAGUGUGUUUCGACACACUAUCAUUAACUGAAUCCAUAGGUUAAUGAGGCGAACCGGGGGAACUGAAACAUCUAAGUACCCCGAGGAAAAGAAAUCAACCGAGAUUCCCCCAGUAGCGGCGAGCGAACGGGGAGCAGCCCAGAGCCUGAAUCAGUGUGUGUGUUAGUGGAAGCGUCUGGAAAGGCGUGCGAUACAGGGUGACAGCCCCGUACACAAAAAUGCACAUGCUGUGAGCUCGAUGAGUAGGGCGGGACACGUGGUAUCCUGUCUGAAUAUGGGGGGACCAUCCUCCAAGGCUAAAUACUCCUGACUGACCGAUAGUGAACCAGUACCGUGAGGGAAAGGCGAAAAGAACCCCGGCGAGGGGAGUGAAAAAGAACCUGAAACCGUGUACGUACAAGCAGUGGGAGCACGCUUAGGCGUGUGACUGCGUACCUUUUGUAUAAUGGGUCAGCGACUUAUAUUCUGUAGCAAGGUUAACCGAAUAGGGGAGCCGAAGGGAAACCGAGUCUUAACUGGGCGUUAAGUUGCAGGGUAUAGACCCGAAACCCGGUGAUCUAGCCAUGGGCAGGUUGAAGGUUGGGUAACACUAACUGGAGGACCGAACCGACUAAUGUUGAAAAAUUAGCGGAUGACUUGUGGCUGGGGGUGAAAGGCCAAUCAAACCGGGAGAUAGCUGGUUCUCCCCGAAAGCUAUUUAGGUAGCGCCUCGUGAAUUCAUCUCCGGGGGUAGAGCACUGUUUCGGCAAGGGGGUCAUCCCGACUUACCAACCCGAUGCAAACUGCGAAUACCGGAGAAUGUUAUCACGGGAGACACACGGCGGGUGCUAACGUCCGUCGUGAAGAGGGAAACAACCCAGACCGCCAGCUAAGGUCCCAAAGUCAUGGUUAAGUGGGAAACGAUGUGGGAAGGCCCAGACAGCCAGGAUGUUGGCUUAGAAGCAGCCAUCAUUUAAAGAAAGCGUAAUAGCUCACUGGUCGAGUCGGCCUGCGCGGAAGAUGUAACGGGGCUAAACCAUGCACCGAAGCUGCGGCAGCGACGCUGAUGCGUUGUUGGGUAGGGGAGCGUUCUGUAAGCCUGCGAAGGUGUGCUGUGAGGCAUGCUGGAGGUAUCAGAAGUGCGAAUGCUGACAUAAGUAACGAUAAAGCGGGUGAAAAGCCCGCUCGCCGGAAGACCAAGGGUUCCUGUCCAACGUUAAUCGGGGCAGGGUGAGUCGACCCCUAAGGCGAGGCCGAAAGGCGUAGUCGAUGGGAAACAGGUUAAUAUUCCUGUACUUGGUGUUACUGCGAAGGGGGGACGGAGAAGGCUAUGUUGGCCGGGCGACGGUUGUCCCGGUUUAAGCGUGUAGGCUGGUUUUCCAGGCAAAUCCGGAAAAUCAAGGCUGAGGCGUGAUGACGAGGCACUACGGUGCUGAAGCAACAAAUGCCCUGCUUCCAGGAAAAGCCUCUAAGCAUCAGGUAACAUCAAAUCGUACCCCAAACCGACACAGGUGGUCAGGUAGAGAAUACCAAGGCGCUUGAGAGAACUCGGGUGAAGGAACUAGGCAAAAUGGUGCCGUAACUUCGGGAGAAGGCACGCUGAUAUGUAGGUGAGGUCCCUCGCGGAUGGAGCUGAAAUCAGUCGAAGAUACCAGCUGGCUGCAACUGUUUAUUAAAAACACAGCACUGUGCAAACACGAAAGUGGACGUAUACGGUGUGACGCCUGCCCGGUGCCGGAAGGUUAAUUGAUGGGGUUAGCGCAAGCGAAGCUCUUGAUCGAAGCCCCGGUAAACGGCGGCCGUAACUAUAACGGUCCUAAGGUAGCGAAAUUCCUUGUCGGGUAAGUUCCGACCUGCACGAAUGGCGUAAUGAUGGCCAGGCUGUCUCCACCCGAGACUCAGUGAAAUUGAACUCGCUGUGAAGAUGCAGUGUACCCGCGGCAAGACGGAAAGACCCCGUGAACCUUUACUAUAGCUUGACACUGAACAUUGAGCCUUGAUGUGUAGGAUAGGUGGGAGGCUUUGAAGUGUGGACGCCAGUCUGCAUGGAGCCGACCUUGAAAUACCACCCUUUAAUGUUUGAUGUUCUAACGUUGACCCGUAAUCCGGGUUGCGGACAGUGUCUGGUGGGUAGUUUGACUGGGGCGGUCUCCUCCUAAAGAGUAACGGAGGAGCACGAAGGUUGGCUAAUCCUGGUCGGACAUCAGGAGGUUAGUGCAAUGGCAUAAGCCAGCUUGACUGCGAGCGUGACGGCGCGAGCAGGUGCGAAAGCAGGUCAUAGUGAUCCGGUGGUUCUGAAUGGAAGGGCCAUCGCUCAACGGAUAAAAGGUACUCCGGGGAUAACAGGCUGAUACCGCCCAAGAGUUCAUAUCGACGGCGGUGUUUGGCACCUCGAUGUCGGCUCAUCACAUCCUGGGGCUGAAGUAGGUCCCAAGGGUAUGGCUGUUCGCCAUUUAAAGUGGUACGCGAGCUGGGUUUAGAACGUCGUGAGACAGUUCGGUCCCUAUCUGCCGUGGGCGCUGGAGAACUGAGGGGGGCUGCUCCUAGUACGAGAGGACCGGAGUGGACGCAUCACUGGUGUUCGGGUUGUCAUGCCAAUGGCACUGCCCGGUAGCUAAAUGCGGAAGAGAUAAGUGCUGAAAGCAUCUAAGCACGAAACUUGCCCCGAGAUGAGUUCUCCCUGACUCCUUGAGAGUCCUGAAGGAACGUUGAAGACGACGACGUUGAUAGGCCGGGUGUGUAAGCGCAGCGAUGCGUUGAGCUAACCGGUACUAAUGAACCGUGAGGCUUAACCUU
Molecule: ribosomal RNA, 2904 nt
Filed under: Escherichia coli
Lineage: Bacteria; Pseudomonadati; Pseudomonadota; Gammaproteobacteria; Enterobacterales; Enterobacteriaceae
Description: 23S ribosomal RNA
Rfam family: Bacterial large subunit ribosomal RNA
Source: RNAcentral